Long non-coding RNA from Erythranthe guttata (spotted monkey flower), 702 nucleotides. RefSeq lists it as uncharacterized. Lineage: Eukaryota; Viridiplantae; Streptophyta; Magnoliopsida; Lamiales; Phrymaceae. The record is from RefSeq and is a predicted model, not a curated record.
UCAAAAAGAAAAAAAAAAAAAAACAUAAUGAAAAAGAAGAAAACCCACGGCCAUCAUCUCCUCCCCCAACCCAAAAUUCUUCCAUCUGCAUCACCACCACCUCACCACCACCUCCGCACCACCUGCCUUCCCUCCCCAAAAAAAAUUAUGCUUUAUGUUUAAUUUGAUGGGUUUUUCCAGAUUUCUUUUGAAUCAAGAUUUUUGGUCGCGACCCUAUUCGUCUCAUCUCUUCGUCGGAGGUGGGUUUGGAGGCGGCAUCAUCCGGGCCGGAUGAAGCAUCCAUGGCGAGGAACAGAUUUGAGAAGAAGGAGACGGAGAAAGAAGAUGAGGUUUUGAGAAAUUAUGAAAAUUGCAAUUUGGUCCUAUGCAAUUUGGAGAGAGGGCAGCGGCGGCGGCGUGGUUGAAUCGGAGAGUCGGCCAAUGAUUCUUCGAGUUUGACAUUCUUCUUCUUCUUAUUCUUCCUGAAGGGAUGUGCCGAAAAUUUUUGAGGAGCCGUUUUUCUUCCAUUUUGUUUUCUUGGAUUUGGAAUAGAAAUGAACUUCAUGUUCAGAUAUGGGUUUGGUUGAUGGUUUUUGCCGGAAAAAAUCAUGGUGAAAAAGUGGAGGACUAGUUGAAGAAGAUGGCUUAAUUGAAAAUAUAAAGGACUCAAUUGAAAAUCUUAAAAACUUCAUUUUGGUACUUAUAAAGUUUCUGGUUGCAUUU